GCCUCGGUAGUGUAAUAGAUCAUCACGGCAGACCGGUGCUUGUCUGUAAGUGCGGGUUCGAGUCCGGCCUGAGGUG
RNAcentral lists this transfer RNA (76 nucleotides) under Dictyocaulus viviparus (bovine lungworm). It matches the Rfam family "tRNA". Rfam says of the family: Transfer RNA (tRNA) molecules are approximately 80 nucleotides in length. The record is from Rfam by way of RNAcentral. Lineage: Eukaryota; Metazoa; Nematoda; Chromadorea; Rhabditida; Metastrongylidae.